This 339-nucleotide ribosomal RNA is filed under the name Triticum aestivum (bread wheat). Its description in RNAcentral is "partial small subunit ribosomal RNA". The record is from RNAcentral. Lineage: Eukaryota; Viridiplantae; Streptophyta; Magnoliopsida; Poales; Poaceae.
AUGUCCCAACCGGCAAAGGAGGUGAAUGUCAAGUCAGUGCUGCAAUCACUCACAUCCUUUGUUAUGGGGGUCUUCAAACUUAAUACAGGGUUUUGUGACAAGUAUGAGAAAUUGAUCAAAGAUUUUUGGUGGGGAGACAAGUUUGACCACCGGAAAGUUCAUUGGAUGUCCUGGGAAAAUAUGACCAAGCACAAGAGAGAUGGAGGCAUUGGUUUUCGAGACAUGAAAUGCUUUAAUCAAGCUCUCCUGGCCCGUCAGUGUUGGAGGCUUAUUCAACAACCAGACAGCCUAUGCGCAAGAGUGCAUCGCCGAUGCCUCGCCGUCCUAGAGAGGUAUUGA